AACGCACAUUGCGCCCGCCGGCAUCCCGGCGGGCAUGCCUGUUCGAGCGUCAUUUCUACCCUCAGGCGCGGCCUGGUGUUGGGGGCCUGCGCACCGCAGCCCCCGAAAGACAGCGGCGGCGAGCGCCCCGGCUCCGAGCGUAGUAGCACACGUCGCUCCGGGCGCCGGGCGCUCCCCUGCCGGAAACCCCCCAUCUCCUGAAAUGUUGACCUCGGAUCAGGUAGGAAUACCCGCUGAACUUAA
Molecule: unclassified non-coding RNA, 243 nt
Filed under: uncultured fungus
Lineage: Eukaryota; Fungi
Description: sequence contains ITS2
Source: RNAcentral